This 373-nucleotide long non-coding RNA is filed under the name Homo sapiens (human). The record is from RNAcentral. Lineage: Eukaryota; Metazoa; Chordata; Mammalia; Primates; Hominidae.
GCUCUGGGUCCUCUGGGAUGGCGCCUGGCUGUGGCCGCGUGGUCUCUCACGCAGGGGCGCCGGGCGGGGGAACGCGGCCACCCUGAGUCUGCUGUUUCCACGUGCGGUGCUCGUCGGGAGUGAUCACCUACCCUACAGGUGGAAGAUGGAUGCCUGAAGUGUAGACUGCUGCUAGCUGAAUACCAUCUGGGAGCAUAAAGGUGACCUGAAGGAUGUCCUUGGUGAGGAUUUUGAAAAUUUGAUCUUCACAAGAGUUGCCUGGAUCAUUUGAAAUUUCUGGGAGUCUGAGGAGUACUGACAUAAUUACCUGCUGGAGUCUGUAAAUACACAUUUAAGACAGUGAGGAUGUGAAUAAAUAUAUUAAUGCACUUUG